AACGAACGCUGGCGGCAGGCCUAACACAUGCAAGUCGAGCGCUACCUUCGGGUGGAGCGGCGGACGGGUUAGUAACGCGUGGGAACAUACCCCUUUCUACGGAAUAGCCAUUGGAAACGAUGAGUAAUACCGUAUACGCCCUUCGGGGGAAAGAUUUAUCGGUGAGGGAUUGGCCCGCGUAAGAUUAGAUAGUUGGUGGGGUAAUGGCCUACCAAGUCUACGAUCUUUAGCUGGUUUUAGAGGAUGAUCAGCAACACUGGGACUGAGACACGGCCCAG
RNAcentral lists this ribosomal RNA (278 nucleotides) under uncultured Thalassovita sp. Its description in RNAcentral is "uncultured Thalassobius sp. partial 16S ribosomal RNA". It matches the Rfam family "Bacterial small subunit ribosomal RNA", at positions 29 to 334 of the family's 1533-position model. Lineage: Bacteria; Pseudomonadati; Pseudomonadota; Alphaproteobacteria; Rhodobacterales; Roseobacteraceae. The record is from RNAcentral.